Long non-coding RNA from Etheostoma cragini (Arkansas darter), 198 nucleotides. RefSeq lists it as uncharacterized. The transcript is spliced from 3 exons. NCBI's taxonomy places the organism in Eukaryota, Metazoa, Chordata, Actinopteri, Perciformes, Percidae. The record is from RefSeq and is a predicted model, not a curated record.
ACUUUGGAUUUUUUUUUCCUUUAUUUUUUUUUAAAUAGCAGACUUUGUGAUAUACAGUAUAUAUCUUUUGUGUGCAUGUCAACAAAUGAUGCAGGACAAACACCUUUAAGAUUAUAUGACCAUUCGGCAGCCUAAGCAGGAACAGACAAGGCAUCUGCAGAGGCCCACAGCGUAGGCAGUGUGAACACGGACGAAUCA